Molecule: transfer RNA, 78 nt
Filed under: Oryza barthii
Lineage: Eukaryota; Viridiplantae; Streptophyta; Magnoliopsida; Poales; Poaceae
Rfam family: tRNA
About the family: Transfer RNA (tRNA) molecules are approximately 80 nucleotides in length.
Source: Rfam by way of RNAcentral
GGAGAAAUGGCUGAGUGGUUGAUAGCUCUGGUCUCGAAAACCGGUGAACUAUCGAGGGUUUGAAUCCCUCUCUCUUUC